Molecule: ribosomal RNA, 910 nt
Filed under: Rhizophagus irregularis
Lineage: Eukaryota; Fungi; Glomeromycota; Glomeromycetes; Glomerales; Glomeraceae
Description: eukaryotic LSU rRNA
Rfam family: Eukaryotic large subunit ribosomal RNA
Source: RNAcentral
GCAUAUCAAUAAGCGGAGGAAAAGAAAAUAACAAUGAUUCCCCUAGUAACUGCGAGUGAAGAGGGACAAGCUCAAAUUUUAAAUCUAUCGGGUUUUACCUGAUCGAGUUGUAAUUUGAAGAAGCGUUUUUUGCGUAUUUGGUCAGCCUAAGUCCUAUUGAAUGAGGCAUCAUGGAGGGUGAUAAUCCCGUCCGGUUGAUCAUUUGCGUUUUACGAUACGCUUUCUAAGAGUCAAGUUGUUUGGGAUUGCAGCUUAAAAUGGGAGGUAAAUUUCUCCUAAGGCUAAAUAACGGCGAGAGACCGAUAGCGAACAAGUACCGUGAGGGAAAGAUGAAAAGAACUUUGAAAAGAGAGUUAAACAGUACGUGAAAUUGUUGAAAGGGAAACGAUUGAAGCCAGUCGUACCUUCGGGUAAUCAGCCUUUUGGGUGUGAUUUUGUGGAGCGUGAAGAGUUAAACGCCUUCAUGCUUGCAUAUUCGUGCACUUUGGGUGUACUUGCCCGUGUGGUUGGUUAACAUCAAUUUUGGUGGUCAUAAAAUGACUGGGGGAAUGUAGCUUCGAUCUUGUAUUGAAGUGUUAUAGCCUUCGGUAGAUGUGAUGAUCGAGAUUGAGGAUUGCAACGGAUACCCUUCGGGGCUACCUGUCUGGUCUCUGAUCGUUGCUCUGGUGCCGAAAGCUUGCUUACGGUUAUCAAAGUCGAUGGUCAAUAGGUUAGAACGGGUUAAAUUCGUUAAGGAUGUUGACGUAAUGGCUUUAAACGACCCGUCUUGAAACACGGACCAAGGAGUCUAACAUAUAUGCGAGUGUUAGGGUGAUUAAACCCUUACGCGUAAUGAAAGUAAUUUUGGUGGGAACACUUUUGUGCACCAUCGACCGAUCAGGAUAUUUUUUGAUAGAUUUGAGUAAGAGCA